Molecule: long non-coding RNA, 933 nt
Organism: Perca fluviatilis (European perch)
Lineage: Eukaryota; Metazoa; Chordata; Actinopteri; Perciformes; Percidae
Exons: 2
Source: RefSeq, a predicted model, not a curated record
CCUACGCACAGAAAACUCAACCAGGUGCUCCCAACACAAUGAGACUUAGCAAACUUGUUUGCUUGAUAGGCUAGCAGACGGUAAAACCCAGAAGCUUGGGCGGGAAUGCAUGCCUCUGCCACCCAUGCCGAAGAAAACAGGUUCAGCUCUCGUCUCUCAGGAGAUGGAUGCCAACCAGAACACAUCAAAGAAAAUGUCACGUCAAAUUAGUUUCCACGUGCCCCCUGUAAAUAAGCUAAUAUGACCAUGUACUCAGAGGAGAACAUAUAGCAUAAAGAGUGAUUUGUGAAAAAAGAAGAAAAAAAAAAACAUAGCUGAUGUCCAAGCAAAUCCAUUCACACCAAAGGCAGCAUUUCAGACUUGUAGUUCAUUUCUACUCAAGGCUACAAGAAAAAGAUACCCCAUGUAAUUCAGUAGCCAUUAACACGGUCUAUGUGUCUCUGUGAUUAGGGAAAAUGUUAAGGUAGUAUAGUUCCCACAGACCCCCAGUCCAACCUUCUGUGAGGAUGACCACGGCAUAAGACUUGUUUUAUCUGAAAUGCCACAAGACAUCAACAAUAAAGCAACUGUUGUUAAAGGGACUGCUUGGUGUAAUUAGAUAAUGUGGACACACCCCCAACAGCAGGACCCAGGCAGAAGAGUAUUUUUGGAACAAACCACACUUGGGACAAAGCUGCCAUUUUUACAGCUCAUGUCAUUUACUGCCUUGUAGUGUUAAAUGAGCGUCCUGAAUGUAUCUAAAGCAGUGGACUCCCUUAUGGCUACAUAUUCUCUAUAGUUAUACCUUGUAAUUAGUUUGCAAAGAUAUCUGGAAAUGCAAACAAUUAUUGUGUAUAUAAAAGUGUAUAUAAAAUAUGUUGCAGCUUCCCAAAACAGGGAUGAUUGUAAUGUAUCCUUAUACAUAAAUAAUGGAAACACUUUCCACCACUGCAA